GGGAGGGUCAGAUAAUGCGGCUGCGCUCUGCAUCUCCGUAGGGGAGCUUGGAAGAGGAUGGGGCCCAGGACGGACCCGGGAUCCUUUCUGCAGCAAUUUGGCCCUGCCCUCCAGCCUACCCUUCACUCCCAGAGGAAAGAGCCCAAGGGGACCCCGCCCAGGUAUUCGGAAAUGAGGUGGAUGGAGAGAAGCAGGCGCGGGGUUUGGCUUCUUAAUACAGUAAAGCGAAGAGGUUGGAGCGGGAGGAGGGAGCCGCCGUCAGCUGUCAACUCUGAAUCUGCAGGCCGCCCCUCAAGUUCAGGGAACCCCUGGUCCUCUCUGGCACCUGCAAGAUCUGGCGCUGUUCUGGAGUGGCCCGUUGCAGACACUGAACCACCAGCCAGCUGCACUUGUUGUCCUGGAUGUCAGUGCCAAUUUUUCCCGUUACACUGGGGUCGCCAAAGAGGUCAAGGUAAUCAUCCUGGGCAGGAGGCAGAAGAGGAGGAAUGAAGAGGCUGGUGUGGCAGUGGGACACCUGCCUGGUCCCCGCUCUGCCCUUGCCUCAGGCCCACCUGAAUCUGGAAGAACUCUCCCAUCUGCAUCAGGAUCUUCUUGGCAUUAGCAUGUUCCUUCUCCCCAUCAAUGCCUGCCUACAAGGGAAGAGGACCAAUGAGCUGAAGCCCUCACUGCCUUCACCUCCUGGGAUACUUCCUCCAGUGGGGUCCUGCUACUGGGGUCCCCAAGUUGUCUCUCCUUUCAGACAUUCUUGGCCUCCCCGAUCUAGGAAGUCCUGACGGAUGAACCAACCUCCGUCCCACUAAUUUUUGACUAGGCCUUCCUGGGAGUCACAAAAGGGAAGAAUUUGGAGGCCCACAAAUUCUCUUUCACGGUCUCAGUCAUCUGAUUCCUCUUCCUAACCUUUCUGCCACCUCCAGCUUCUUUCAGGAUGAAAAGAAAACUUGGAGAACCAAGUUCAGGGUAGACUAUUAAUCCUGCCUGCCUUUGAAUCCAGCCUUCUCCCUCCCUACCUGAAUUAUGUCCUCCCCAGUCCUGUCCAAACUCCUAUUUGGGAUUCACAGUUCCCCGAUUAGGAGCCAAGCACUUUCAAAUGCCUCAGUUCACCUUUACAGUCCUGUGAGGCAGGAACUUAUCCCCAUCUUGCAGCGGAGAGUAACUGGAUUGCUCAAGGCCUCGCAGUCAUUCAGCGGGGCUACCAACUGUCCAAGUGCCUUGUCUAUGACUUGCUGCCUCAAUACCCACAAGUGCGGGGAAGAGCGGGUGAGGCUGACUCACCAUGUACAUGGCAGCAGCGAUAGGCAGGUAGAAGGAGUAGAAAGCUGUCUUGUAUUUGACAAUGGAUUUGUACCUAAAGGAGAAGAUAGAGGCCUCAGGACAACCCCACCCAAGCCCUCCCUCAUUCUCCAGAUAUGGUCCCCUCUGGCCCUCACCUCUUUUCAGUGUAUCUGCCAAGAUCCACAUUGCCCUGGGGGGCUGUGAUGAGGUCCAGGGUCUGCCCAAUCUCCGUCUGAUAGGAACUCUAAGAGGAAGAUGGCCCGUGAGCCAGGUUUUCUCCACAUAUGGGGACCCUGAUGUGCUGAACCCUAUACCCCAUGCCCAGAACCCGCAUUCUGGCAGAGUCCCAAGGGCAGCAGUAAAGAGAGAAACUCCAGGCCCCCACUCGUGCACACAGUCCUUUCCUUCCUCCCUAAUCCUCUUCCUUCCUGUCCCCUUCCAGGCAACCCUAGCAUCUCCUGUGCCUGAAACCAGCAGAUGGGAACAUCCCUACAGAGGCCAAGGCUACUAUGAGAAGCCUCUGAGCUCUGGGUCCCGGGCUGCAGCACACCUGCAGGAAUAGCUCAAUCAAGUUCAAAUAGUAGGGCUGAUCCCGGCAGUAGAACUUCAGCAGGCGGUAGAUACACGCUUCCAGAAGCAGAGCGUCAUUGAUGGCAUCCAAACCUAUGCCUGGCUGUGAGGAGCAAAGAGGAAAACUGAGCAAUGAAUCUCUGGCCUUGAUUCAUACCAAGAAUGGUUACCUCAAUCAGGCUGGAUAACCACCUCCCUGUGGCCUGUCCCCAUGCCCACUUCCACCUUCCCCCCACAUUACCUUCUGAUACCAGCAGAGCUGUCCCCGGCGGGUAAGGGAUGCAUCCAUGAUGUCAUCUGACACCAAGAAGAAAGCUUGCAGCUAGGGGAAGGAAAGACAGAGUUAAGACCCCUUUACGUGCCUUCUACCAGAGACACAGCUCCUGCUUCUGAUGGUUACCGUGAGCUGGGAAGGGAUACCAAGGUCAGGACGCUGAGGACUUCAGUUACAGACGACCUUGAAGUUACAUGACCUCUUUGGCUCAGACUCCCCACCUAAACACAUAGAACUAAAACUGUUUCCAGGGUUAAGAGUCCAGAAAACAUCUCUGACAACUUCAAUCAGCCUUUCCGACUGUCACUGGUAUUGGAGAUAAUGAGACACCUUCAUGUUUACUCUUUCUCCUCGUGCCAAAAAUCUCAAUGAAUGCUUAAAGGAA
Molecule: long non-coding RNA, 2501 nt
Organism: Marmota monax (woodchuck)
Lineage: Eukaryota; Metazoa; Chordata; Mammalia; Rodentia; Sciuridae
Exons: 2
Source: RefSeq, a predicted model, not a curated record